This 455-nucleotide ribosomal RNA is filed under the name uncultured bacterium. RNAcentral describes it as "bacterial SSU rRNA". It matches the Rfam family "Bacterial small subunit ribosomal RNA", at positions 340 to 786 of the family's 1533-position model. The record is from RNAcentral.
UACGGGAGGUAGCAGUGGGGAAUAUUGCACAAUGGGCGAAAGCCUGAUGCAGCUAUGCCGCGUGUAUGAAGAAGGCCUUAGGGUUGUAAAGUACUUUCAUCGGGGAGGAAAAACAAAACUAAUAAUUUUAUUUCUUGACGUUACCCGAAAAAGAAGCACCGGCUAACUCCGUGCCAGCAGCCGCGGUAAUACGGAGGGUGCUAGCGUUAAUCAGAAUUACUGGGCGUAAAGAGCACGUAGGUGGUUUUUUUAAGUCAGAUGUGAAAUCCCUGGGCUUAACCUAGGAACUGCAUUUUGAAACUGAAAUACUAGAGUAUCGUAGAGGGAGGUAGAAUUCUAGGUGUAGCGGUGAAAUGCGUAGAUAUCUGGAGGAAUACCUGUGGCGAAAGCGGCCUCCUAAACGAAUACUGACACUGAGGUGCGAAAGCGUGGGGAGCAAACAGGGAUUAGAUACC